This is a long non-coding RNA of Carlito syrichta (Philippine tarsier), 707 nucleotides long. RefSeq lists it as uncharacterized. The record is from RefSeq and is a predicted model, not a curated record. NCBI's taxonomy places the organism in Eukaryota, Metazoa, Chordata, Mammalia, Primates, Tarsiidae. The transcript is spliced from 2 exons.
UCCGGCAAUCCUUCCAUCUUUUCCAAGUAGCUGGGACUGCAGGUUUCCAGUGAGAAAUUCCCUAAUUCAGUGUUUAAAUUGGACUUUUACAUGGACUUCUUUGUAUAGGUGUGGCAUUGUAACAAAGGAAGUGGCUUGGUGUCUUUGAUAACCUCAUUUGGCUCCAGCAGAGUUCUUUGAGAUAAGUCCCUUGCAAGCUGGAUGUAUUCCAAAAGUGUGCAAACCAUAUUAUGCUUCUUGAGUCCUUUGCACUCUGAAGUUCCCUGUGAGGGAACAUCGAAAAUCUAGCAAGCCAGUCAGAUGUCCCCUCUCAGAAGACAUAAAGAGAUUGCUGGUGAUUAUACUGGACAUACUUACGCAAGCACAAGUUUUUCAAAAAUGUAUAUUUCCUUGAAGUUUUCCAUUCAAAUUGUGUAAAAAUGCAAAUAAACACAUGGAAUAUAUAAUGAGAUAUAUGUAAAAAAAAAUGAGCUGGUGUUAUGUAGAAAGAGGAUAUAUGAAGUGCUUUCAUGAUGGUGCACAGACUUGGCAAUGAGUUACAUAUUGUUAAUGUGGGAGGAAGAGAACAAGGGUUUACUAUCUGUUCAAAUAGGUGGUCGAUGUCCAACAAAUUUCUAUUGCACAACAUGUAUCAGUGAACCUACAAUGCACUUUGAGGACUGUUUCACACAUUACCAUAUUUGAGAAAAAUAUAAGAUAUAAACUUU